Molecule: ribosomal RNA, 1078 nt
Filed under: Axinella infundibuliformis
Lineage: Eukaryota; Metazoa; Porifera; Demospongiae; Axinellida; Axinellidae
Description: eukaryotic LSU rRNA
Rfam family: Eukaryotic large subunit ribosomal RNA
Source: RNAcentral
ACCCGCUGAAUUUAAGCAUAUCAAUAAGCGGAGGAAGAGAAACUAACCAGGAUUCCCGCAGUAACGGCGAGCGAAGUGGGAAGAGCUCGAGCCUGUAAUCUCUGGUAGUGUUGCCAGCGAAUUGUGGCCGGGAGAGGUGGCCUGGUCCUGUCUUGCGGCGUCAAAGUUGACCUGGAAGGGCACGUCGGAGAGGGUGAGAACCCCGUUGUUGACCCCGCAAGUGUGGGCAGACGCCGCCUUCUGAGAGUCGGGUUGUUUGGGAAUGCAGCCCAAAGUGGGUGGUAAACUCCAUCUAAAGCUAAAUACGGACACGAGACCGAUAGCGAACAAGUACCAUGAGGGAAAGGUGAAAAGUACUUUGAAAAGAGAGUCAAAGAGACCGCGAAACCGUUUGGAGGGAAGCGAAUGCAGCUUGACGACUCCGUUCGGGUUCAGGGAGGGUGGUCGGCCUUCUUGUGCGGGUCAACUCGCAAGAGUGCUCCGCCUCGCUUGACCGUCGACCCUUCUGCAUUCCCGUCUUGGAGUUGGCCAACGAGGGUGGCUGGUGGCCAGUACAAGGCUGGAGGGUAGGUGCCUUCAGUGGCUUUCGGGUCGUUGGAGAACUUAGAGCCUCCGACUGGUUUGGUUGCUAGCUGCCGAGGAGAUGUGCCGCCUUGGCACAAGUCAGUGCAGGCUCCGCAGGGGCCGGGCCGCUUCUGUCCGUUUGGGAGGCGCAGCAAGGGACUGCCUGCAGUGCCUGUUGACGUCCUUUUCUGCUCGGGCGGGAGGUGGGUCACGAUGUGUGCUGUAGUCGUUGGUAGAGGGAUGGCUUCAUCCGACCCGUCUUGAAACACGGACCAAGGAGUGCAAGAGGCGUGCGAGUCUUUGGAUGGACCAAAUCCGAGGACGCAAUGAAGUGUAGGGAGACUUGUCUCCCGAGGCGGGAGCCGGUCUUUGGGCCGGCCCACCGUCGACCGAUCCCAGGUCACGCUGUGGUGGGAUUCGAGUUAGAGCGUGUCUGUUGCGACCCGAAAGAUGGUGAACUAUGCCUGAAUAGGGCGAAGCCAGAGGAAACUCUGGUGGAAGCUCGUAGCGGUUC